UGGGGAAUAUUGCACAAUGGGCGCAAGCCUGAUGCAGCCAUGCCGCGUGUAUGAAGAAGGCCUUCGGGUUGUAAAGUACUUUCAGUCGGGAGGAAGGUGGUAAGGUUAAUAACCUUAUCAAUUGACGUUACCGACAGAAGAAGCACCGGCUAACUCCGUGCCAGCAGCCGCGGUAAUACGGAGGGUGCAAGCGUUAAUCUGAAUUACUGGGCGUAAAGCGCACGCAGGCGGUUGAUUGAGUCAGAUGUGAAAUCCCCGGGCUUAACCCGGGAAUUGCAUCUGAUACUGGUCAGCUAGAGUCUUGUAGAGGGGGGUAGAAUUCCAUGUGUAGCGGUGAAAUGCGUAGAGAUGUGGAGGAAUACCGGUGGCGAAGGCGGCCCCCUGGACAAAGACUGACGCUCAGGUGCGAAAGCGUGGGGAGCAAACAGG
This 429-nucleotide ribosomal RNA is filed under the name Chloroflexota bacterium. Its description in RNAcentral is "Chloroflexi bacterium partial 16S ribosomal RNA". It matches the Rfam family "Bacterial small subunit ribosomal RNA", at positions 355 to 776 of the family's 1533-position model. Lineage: Bacteria; Bacillati; Chloroflexota. The record is from RNAcentral.